RNAcentral lists this non-coding RNA (26 nucleotides) under Rattus norvegicus (Norway rat). The record is from RNAcentral. Lineage: Eukaryota; Metazoa; Chordata; Mammalia; Rodentia; Muridae.
GAGUCUUAAUGAAAGAGGUCGGCUGC